RNAcentral lists this ribosomal RNA (496 nucleotides) under uncultured bacterium. RNAcentral's name for it is "partial 16S ribosomal RNA". It matches the Rfam family "Bacterial small subunit ribosomal RNA", at positions 29 to 507 of the family's 1533-position model. The record is from RNAcentral.
AUGAACGCUGGCGGCGUGCCUAAUACAUGCAAGUCGAGCGAACGGACGAGAAGCUUGCUUCUCUGAUGUUAGCGGCGGACGGGUGAGUAACACGUGGAUAACCUACCUAUAAGACUGGGAUAACUUCGGGAAACCGGAGCUAAUACCGGAUAAUAUUUUGAACCGCAUGGUUCAAAAGUAAAAGACGGUCUUGCUGUCACUUAUAGAUGGAUCCGCGCUGCAUUAGCUAGUUGGUAAGGUAACGGCUUACCAAGGCAACGAUGCAUAGCCGACCUGAGAGGGUGAUCGGCCACACUGGAACUGAGACACGGUCCAGACUCCUACGGGAGGCAGCAGUAGGGAAUCUUCCGCAAUGGGCGAAAGCCUGACGGAGCAACGCCGCGUGAGUGAUGAAGGUCUUCGGAUCGUAAAACUCUGUUAUUAGGGAAGAACAUAUGUGUAAGUAACUGUGCACAUCUUGUCGGUACCUAAUCAGAAAGCCACGGCUAACUACGUG